UGAACCAGCGGAGGGAUCAUUACCGAGUUUACAACUCCCAAACCCAAUGUGAACGUUACCAAACUGUUGCCUCGGCGGGAUCUCUGCCCCGGGUGCGUCGCAGCCCCGGACCAAGGCGCCCGCCGGAGGACCAACCAAAACUCUUAUUGUAUACCCCCUCGCGGGUUUUUUAUAAUCUGAGCCUUCUCGGCGCCCCUCGUGGGCGUUUCGAAAAUGAAUCAAAACUUUCAACAACGGAUCUCUUGGUUCUGGCAUCGAUGAAGAACGCAGCGAAAUGCGAUAAGUAAUGUGAAUUGCAGAAUUCAGUGAAUCAUCGAAUCUUUGAACGCACAUUGCGCCCGCCAGUAUUCUGGCGGGCAUGCCUGUCCGAGCGUCAUUUCAACCCUCGAACCCCUCCGGGGGGUCGGCGUUGGGGAUCGGCCCUCCCUCUGCGGGGGCCGUCUCCGAAAUCCAGUGGCGGUCUCGCCGCAGCCUCUCCUGCGCAGUAGUUUGCACACUCGCACCGGGAGCGCGGCGCGUCCACAGCCGUUAAACACCCAACUUUCUGAAAUGUUGACCUCGGAUCAGGUAGAGA
This 574-nucleotide ribosomal RNA is filed under the name Trichoderma cf. harzianum ROG-2010. RNAcentral describes it as "eukaryotic LSU rRNA". The stretch from base 223 to 376 matches the Rfam family "5.8S ribosomal RNA". The record is from RNAcentral. Lineage: Eukaryota; Fungi; Ascomycota; Sordariomycetes; Hypocreales; Hypocreaceae.